This 12355-nucleotide long non-coding RNA is filed under the name Malus domestica (apple). RNAcentral describes it as "long non-coding RNA (MDOM_LNC016131)". Lineage: Eukaryota; Viridiplantae; Streptophyta; Magnoliopsida; Rosales; Rosaceae. The record is from RNAcentral.
UUGCAUCAUCAAGCGGUCAAAGAGGUCAAGCAUCUUUCGGAAGUGACCGGUCAAACGGCGUCGAAUUCCCAGGGGAUCGAUCUUUUUGAGCACAGGAAAAUAGUCAGCCAAGUUAGGUUUCCCGGCCUCUUCAAAGAUACCCCACACCAAGUCCUUGAACUCUCUCGCCAUCGCACUGUGUGUGGGUCCGCUAAAUCCACGGAGAAGACUGUACGCGACAGCAAAUUGAGAGUGAAGUUUUGAAAGCAGCCCUUCCGAUAUCAACCACCUCACCGUUUACAGCGCUUUCAUUGACGUAAGAUAUGAGCUCUUGCACUUUUAGGUGACGGUUGGCUUGGUUGGCAUCGAGAAUUUUGGUGGCGAACAAUUGCGUGUUACAUGUUUUGCGAAGGUUUCUCCAAGCAGCUGAAACUGGUAUCCAAGCCAUGCCGUACGUGGAAUGUUGACAAGCUCGGAGCGCAUCUGGGACUGUUCGGUUGCAGAAGAGUUGGUCGUGGGUUCGGAGGACUUCUUUGGCGAAGGUUGAUGAAGAAAUUACCACCGUCGUUAUUUGGCCGAGUUGCAAGGCCAUUAUGGGGCCGUAGCGUUGUGAAAGCUUGGUGAGAGAGAGAUGGGGUUUGUUGCCAAGCUUUAAGAGAUUGCCAAUGAAGGGAAGUGGGUUUGGUCCAGGUGGGAGCCUUGUGGUAACUGAUGAUCUUCUUCCAAGUGAAUAAUAGAGGGUAUAAAUUGAGAUCCAUGCAACCAUUAGACCUAGUAGUAUGUAUGCAACUCAAGAUGUCCAUCUCUCUGUGUCUCCUUUCCCUUGUUCUUUAAUCCUAACCUUUAAUCUGGUGCAAUUGUUGAAAGAGAUGAUGAAUGUUUGCGUAUAUAUCCAAAUUGGGAAGUGAUACUGUGAUAGGACGCAUGUGGACUUCAUUAUUCUGACCAUUACUUGAUAGUUUAUUUUUUUUUUUUUUUAUUUUUUAAUUCGCCAGUAAAAUUUUAUUUACUAUUUUUAAUUUGUAAUAAAUUCAUAAAAAAGCCUACUAACUUCUUUACAUAGGUGAGGUUGUUUCUUUUGAAUUUUAUUUGAAAAUUAUUUUAUUAUUUUUCAUUUAUUUAAUUAAUUUUUUUUUCUUUUUAAAAGUUAUAAGAAGUGAGAAGCAUUUUUUACCAGAUGAAAGAUUUAUUAAAAUUUACGUUCUCCUUUAUAUAGAGAUAAAUUGUGUGUCGUCUAGAAAACGAAGUCAUUUAACAAAAUAAUGCAUAUAAACAAAAUAGUUUAAAUCCUUAUUGUUCUCCAAUAAAUAAUUGUAGACAAAAGAUUAAGGACAUGGAGAUCAUGUGGUACAAUAGUCUAGAAACAGCAACUGCAGAUAAGAGAGGUGAGGUCGGUGGUUGGUGGCUGACAAAUUGAUCAAAACUCCAAAAAGUUGCUCUAGCGGCUCACUGUUUUUAGGGUCGAUUUGUGGGCUUUACCAAGCCCGUUGGACUACCCAGCCGACGUUUUUCAAGCCUUGAGCCUGCCGGUGAUAGGCAAUGUCAGCGCUCAUGCGCACCAGAGAGACCAAUGACUUUUCUUCCUUUUGCUUCAGCCGUUGGAAAAUUCAACGGUCUGAUGCUCUGAGAGGUUAAGCCAUCUGUAACGUGAGCCCAAACUUCUCCUCCAUGUUCAUGGUCUCUGGUAUAACUUCAUCUUCAAGCUUCCAAUCAAAUGAGUUGAUAAGUGACCCCAACAUCAAAUUUAACAUCCGCAUUGCCAAUGGCAACCCAGGACAUAUUCUCCUCCCGCCACCAAAAGGAAUAAGCUUGAGGUUCUGGCCUAAAACAUCAAUUUUCGACUCCAAAAACCUCUCCGGCUCAAAUGAGUUGAGGCGGUCCCAAAUGCUAAGGUACUAUGGCCCAUGCAUUGACAAACAUUUAUAUUAACGUUUUAUUAUUUCAAUACAUAUUAUACACCAAAGUACAAUACAAGGUGCGUCUCUUUUCUUGUGAUAUGGAGAUAUGGACAGGUGCCAAUUGACAGAUCGAAGAAGCAAAAGUGAUCAAUUUGCAUACUUUAUUGAACAAGUGGAUGCUGUAUCUUUGUACUUGCCUUCUACGAUAUUCGAAAUGCGAUAGUGAUUGCACUUGAUGGCCCGUGAGGGGUACAGACAAUUAAUUAUUUGUCAUACUUUGACUUUCCUUGAGUUUUCUCCGACUUCGUGUAAAACUUUGACUUUCCUUUUAGAUAUUAAACUUUAACUUUUCUUUUAGAUAUUUUUCAAAAAGCAAUUUCAAUAGUUUAAAAAUAGAAAGUUUUAAUGAAAAAGACUUGAGGUAACUUUUUCUUAACAAAAAAACCAUUAACAACUUUUAUUUAAUGAAAAAAGCUUGAUAUUUAAUGAAAAGGACACAAGUAACAUACAACAUGCCGAAAAAAACAAAAGUCCCACGGGCUGAAGUAAAGCCAAGCAUGCGACAUCAAAAUUUUCUUCCAGCUUUGCCCUUGACAGAUGUUAACCAAAAUCUGUUAAUAUAACUUCAUAUUAUUUACGAAAUUGCCAUCGAGCCCAAAAGUCAUAUAAAACAACAACAACAACAACAACAAAGCCUUUUCCCACUAAGUGGGGUCGGCUAUAUGAAUCCUAGAACGUCAUUGCGCUCGGUUUUGUGUCAUGUCCUCCGUUAGAUCCAAGUACUCUAAGCCUUUUCUUAGAGUCUCUUCCAAAAUUUUCCUAGGUCUUCCUCUACCCCUUCGACCCUGAACCUCUGUCCCGUAGUCACAUCUUCGAACCGGAGCGUCAGUCGGCCUUCUUUGCACAUGUCCAAAUCACCGGAACCGAUUUUCUCUCAUCUUUCCUUCAAUUUCGGCUACUCCUACUUUACCUCGGAUAUCCUCAUUCUCAAUCUUAUCCUUUCUCGUGUGUGCCCACACAUCCCACGAAGCAUCCUCAUCUCUGCUACACCCAUUUUGUGUACGUGUUGAUGUUUCACCACCGCUCAACAUUCUGUGCCAUACAACAUCGCUGGCCUUAUUGCCGUCUUAUAAAAUUUUCCCCUGAGCUUCAGUGCCCUACGACGGUCACACAACAAUGCUGGAUGCACUCUUACACUUCAUCCAUCCAGCUCGUAUUCUAUGGUUGAGAUCUCCAUCUAAUUCUCCGUUCUCUUGUAAGAUAGAUCCUAGGUAGCGAAAACGGUCGCUUUUUGUGAUCUUCGCUAAAUUGCUCCGGUCAUUAGUGUGGAUAAGUAUAUAAAUGGAUAGAGAUAGGAAAGCAAACACAAGAUGUACGUGGUUCACCCCAGAUUGGCUACGUCCACGGAAUAGAAGAGUUCUCAUUAAUUGUGAAGGGUUUACACAAGUACAUAGGUUCAAGCUCUCCUUUAGUGAGUACAAGUGAAUGAUUUAGUACAAAUGACAUUAGGAAAUAUUGUGGGAGAAUGAUCUCGUAAUCACGAAACUUCUAAGUAUCGGAGUGUGAUAUCAUCUUGACUUGCCUUAUCUGUCUCAUAGGUAGAUGUGGCAGCUUCUCUGGAAGUACUCUUCCUCCAUCCAGGGGUGGUAUCUUUAACUGGUGGAGAUGCACAAGGUAAUGUAUCAAUUUCACUUGAAGCUUACUUGUAGUAGUUUCAGGCUUGGUCAAGCGCGAUACAAACCAUGUAGUAGGAGUCCCCCAAGUCGCCGAGCUAGGGGAUUUGCUGAAAGAGGUGACAGACAAGGUAAGCAAUCAGAGCUCCGGCUGAUUGUUCACCUUCUCCCCAUCUUGCAGCAGCAUGAAGGAUAAAGAGAAGAAAAAUGAGAAGAGAUGAUAUGGGAUACUUUUGCUUUUGAAGAAGUAACUUUCCACAUGCUUAUUCUUGAACUGAGCUGGAGGGUUUUCUGGUUUCCUCCAGAGUAUAAGGCCGACUGAAGAAUUUGAGGGUCAAAACAAGUCCAUCAAAUCUAGAGUACGUUCGACCUUGCUGAUAUGGGAUACUUUUGCUUUUGACAGAGUAAUGGAUGGAUCGGCACGUGUGCUGUUACGCUUGUCUCCACAUGCUUCCUUGUAUCAUUCGCACUUGCCCUAUCUGUUCCUCAAGCAGAUGCGGUAUCUUCCCUGGCAACAUAAGAUGUUGAAGAUGAGUACUCGAGAGCAAUGCCAGGUAAGUAAUCAGGUAAGGGGUUCCAGGCUGUCAGUUCCUGGCUGGGAGCUUGAUUUCAAGUGCUGACUGAUUGCUCUCUUUCUCCUUGUCUUGCAGGUAAAAACAAGGCCAAAGGAAAAGACAGGGAAAAGCAUGAUAUGGGAUACUCUUGCUUUUAACCCUGAUGAUAUGAGAUAUUCUUGCUCUAGUAUAGCUUGUUUGCAAAGGUAUUAUCGGGGGGAAAGAAAGCUGAAUAUUUUGAAAGGCUUCGUUGGGAGUGCCCUCUCAGAUAUGAGGAAGGGUUGAACAUUUUUGCAGGUCUGCCUGUCCGUUGGGGAUGGAGGUCGACAUAUAUAGGAGUCUCCCUAACAACAAGUAGUAAUGAUAUUCCUUUACCCUGCUUGGUCAUAGCAUGGUAGUGGGAGCUACUAGCUUCACAUGUUUUAACUCUGUCAGAGCACUUUGAAAAAGUGGUAUGUGGUAUCUGGCUCUCGAGAUUCGGAGAACGAUGCUUCUUCGAUUUUUGAGAAAGCAAUCAUGGUGGGGAUCUGGCUCUCGAGAUUCGGGGAGCAGUGUCUCUUCGAUUUUUGAGAAAGUAAUCAUGUUGGGAGUCUGGCUCUCGAGAUUCGGAAGUCGGUGCCUCUUCGAUUUUGGAGUAAGCAAUCUUGUUGGGAGUGUUUUCUCGGAUGUGAGUAAAGGUUGGGCAUGUUUGCUAGUCUACCUUGCCACGAAGCACGGAGGUUGACACAUAGGGACUUUCCAAUUAUCCAGCAGUGGUACUGUUCCUUUACCCUUGUGGGUAAUAAUAUGGUAGCUAGACCUUCAAAAUUUAUGUGUCUAAACUUUGUUAGUGCUGUUUCUUUGCUAUUCUUUUACCUUUCUUGGUCAGAGCGAUGUAGUGGGAGCUGCAAGCUUCACGUGCUCAACUUUGGCAGAGACUUUGACAAAGUUAUCUGUGGUACCCAUGAGCUAUUGUUGCGUGUGGGACGUGGGUGAUUGAACAGUAAGAUUCAUGUGCUUUCUACUUCACCAGAAGUCUUCGACAGAAUGCCCAUAAUUUCCGCAAAGCUAAGUGUGCGUGUGACAGGUGCUGACAAGGCUAGAAAAAGAAGGUGCCUCUUCGAUUUCUGAGAUCGGCCCUCGUGGUCUCUGAGCAGCCCAGCUUUUGAGAAAGCGAGCGCCUCUUCGAUUGAUUCGGAGAACGAUGCCUCUUCGAUUUUUGAGAAAGCAAUCAUGCUGGGGGUCUGGCUCUAGAGAUUCGGGGAGCAGUGUCUCUAUGAUUUUUGAGAAAGUAAUCAUGUUGGGAGUCUGGCUCUCGAGAUUCGGAGGGCGGUGCCUCUUCGAUUUUUGGAGCAAGCAAUCUUGUUGGGAGUGUUUUCUCGAAUGUGAGUAAAGGUUGGGCAUGUUUGCUAAUCUACCUUGCCACGAAGCACAGAGGUUGACACACAGGGACUUUCCAAUUAUCCAGCAAUGGUACUGUUCCUUUACCCUCUCUUCGAUUUUUGAGAAAGUAGUCAUGUUGGGAGUCUGGCUCUCGAGAUUCGGAGGACGGUGCCUCUUCGAUUUUGGAGCAAGCAAUCUUAUUGGGAGUGUUUUCUCGAAUGUGAGUAAAGGUUGGGCAUGUUUGCUAGUCUACCUUGCCACGAGGCACAGAGGUUGACACACAGGGACUUUCCAAUUAUCCAACAGUGGUACUGUUCCUUUACCCUUGUGGGUAAUAAUAUGGUAGCUAGACCUUCAAAAUUUAUGGGUCUAAACUUUGUUAGUGCUGUUUCUUUGCUAUUCUUUUACCCUUCUUGGUCAGAGCGAUGUAGUGGAAGCUGCAAGCUUCACGUGCUCAACUUUGGCAGAGAACUUUGGCAAAGUUAUCUGUGGUACCCAUGAGCUAUUGCUGCGUGUGGGAAGUGGGUGAUUGGACAGUAAGAUUCAUGUGUUUUCUACUUCCCCAUAAGUCUUCGACAUAAUACCCAUAAUUUCCGCAAAGCUGAGUGUGCGUGUGACAGGUGCUGACAAGGCUGGAAAAGUAGGUGCCUCUUCGAUUUCUGAGAUCGGCCCUCGUGGUCUCUGAGGAGCCCAGCUUUUGAGGAAAGCGAGCGCCUCUUCGAUUUCUGAGAUCGGCUUUCGUGGUCUUUGAGCAGCCCAACUUUUGAGAAAGCAAACACCUCUUCGAUUUAUGAGAUCAACCCUCGUGGUCUCUAAGCAGCCCAGCUUUUGAGAAAGCAAACGCCUCUUCAAUUUCUGAGCAGGCGCCUCUUCGAUGUUCUGAAGCUCCGUCGAGUGCAGAUUUUUAUAGGGGCUGGCAUUAAGUUCCAAAGCACACUUGAAUCUCCACCAGUAGAAGCUCCAUUCUUGCACUUCUAAGAUCUUGAUUUGUCCGACCUCUUCUCUCUUCAACACCUUUGAAAAUGUCUGGCCCCUCCAACCGUCGUUUUGACUUGAACCUUGUUGAAGAGGCAGCCCCGCCUUCUCCAGACAACAUAUGGCGCCCAUCCUUCGUCUCCCCUACUGGUCCUCUUACCGUUGGGGAUUCCGUGAUGAAGAAUGAUAUGACCGCUGCGGUGGUGGCCAGGAACCUUCUCACUCCCAAAGAUAACAGACUACUUUCCAAACGGUCUGAUGAGUUAGCUGUUAAGGAUUCACUGGCUCUCAGUGUUCAGUGUGCAGGUUCUGUGUGUCUAAUAUGGCCCAACGCCUAUUUGCUCGAACCCGCCAAGUUGAAUCAUUGGCGGCUGAAGUGAUGAGUCUCAAACAGGAGAUUAGAGGGCUCAAGCAUGAGAAUAAACACAGUUGCACCGGCUCGCACAUGACUAUGCUACAAACAUGAAGAGGAAGCUUGACCAGAUGAAGGAAACUGAUGGUCAGGUUUUACUUGAUCAUCAGAGAUUUGUGGGUUUGUUCCAAAGGCAUUUAUUGCCUUCGUCUUCUGGGGCUGUACCGCGUAAUGAAGCUCCAAAUGAUCAACCUCUGAUGCCUCCUCCUUCUAGGGUUCUGUCCAGUACUGAGGCUCCGAAAUGAUCCCCCUCCAAUGCCUUCUCUUUCUGGGGCUCUACCGACUGCUGAGACUUCUCCUAAGCAACCUUUGUGAAGGCUCCAUCUUGUUUGUUUAUUUUGACUCAUGUAUAUGUACAUAUUUGUAGCUUAUCGGGGAUAUCAAUAAAUAAGUUUUCCUUCAUUUCAACGUAUUGUGUUAAAUACACCAAAGCCUUCUUCGCUAAGUUCUUUGAAUUUUCUUUUGUUGAAGCUUGUAUGUUGAAGCUUUCUGAGUGGAGCAUGUAGGUUGGGGGUAGUGUUCCCUUAAUUUUUCCGAGUGAGGAAAACUUCUCGGUUGGAGACUUGAAAAAUCCAAGUCACUGAGUGGGAUCGGCUAUAUGAAUCUUUAGAACGCCAUUGUGCUCGGUCCUGUGUCAUGUCCUUCGUUAGAUCCAAGUACUCUAAGUCUUUUCUUAGAGUCUCUUCCAAAGUUUUCCUAGGUCUUCCUCUACCCCUUCGGCCCUGAACCUCUGUCCCAUAGUCGCAUCUUCUAAUCGGAGCGUCAGUAGGCCUUCUUUGCACAUGUCCAAACCACCGUAACCGAUUUUCUCUCAUCUUUCUUUCAAUUUCGGCUACUCCUACUUUACCCCGGAUAUCCUCAUUCCUAAUCUUAUCCUUUCUCGUGUGCCCACACAUCCAACGAAGCAUCCUCAUCUCCGCUACACCCAUUUUGUGUACGUGUUGAUGCUUUCACCGCCCAACAUUCUGUGCCAUACAGCAUCGCCGGCCUUAUUGCCGUCCUAUAAAAUUUUCCCUUGAGCUUCAGUGGCAUACGGCGAUCACACAAUAACACGCCAGGAUGCACUCUUCCACUUCAUCCAUCCAGCUUGUAUUCUAUGGUUGAGAUCUCCAUCUAAUUCUCCGUUCUUUUGCAAAGAUAGAUCCUAGGUAACGAAAACGGUCGCUCUUUGGUAUUUCUUGAUCUCCGAUCCUCACCCCUAACUCGUUUUGGCCUCCAUCUUGCACUGAACUUGCACUCCAUAUAUUCUGUCUUUGAUCAGGCUUAGGCGAAGACCUUUAGAUUCCAACACUUCUCUCCAAAGGUUAAGCUUUGCAUUUACCCCUUCCUGAGUUUCAUCUAUCAACACUAUAUCGUCUGCGAAAAGCAUACACCAAGGAAUAUCAUCUUGAAUAUGUCCUGUUAACUCAUCCAUUACCAACGCAAAAAGGUAAGGACUUAAGGAUGAGCCUUGAUGUAAUCCUACAGUUAUGGGAAAGCUUUCGGUUUGUCCUUCAUGAGUUCUUACGGCAGUCUUUGCUCCUUCAUACAUAUCCUUUAUAGCUUGGAUAUAUGCUACUCGUACUCCUUUCUUCUCUAAGAAUCUUCCAAAGAAUGUCUCUUGGGACCCUAUCAUACGCUUUUUCCAAAUCUAUAAAGACCAUGUGUAAAUCCUUUUUCCCAUCUCUAUAUCUUUCCAUCAAUCUUCGUAAGAGAUAGAUUGCCUCCAUGGUUGAGCGCCCUGGCAUGAACCCGAAUUGGUUGUCCGAAACCCGUGUCUCUUGCCUCAAUCUAUGCUCAAUGACUCUCUCCCAGAGCUUCAUUGUAUGACUCAUUAACUUAAUACCCCUAUAGUUCAUGCAAUUUUGUACGUCGCCCUUAUUCUUGUAGAUAGGCACCAAAGUGCUCGUUCGCCACUCAUUUGGCAUCUUCUUCGUUUUCAAAAUCCUAUUGAAAAGGUCAGUGAGCCAUGUUAUACCUGUCUCUCCCAAAACUUUCCACACUUCGAUUGGUAUAUCGUCUGGGCCUAUUGCUUUUUUAUGCUUCAUCUUCUUCAAAGCUACAACCACUUCUUCCUUCCGGAUUCGACGAUAAAAUGUAGUUUCUACACUCUUCUGAGUUACUCAACUCCCCUAAAGAAUCACUCCUUUCAUGUCCUUCGUUGAAAAGAUUAUGAAAAUAACCUCUCCAUCUGUCUUUAACCGCGUUCUCUGUAGCAAGAACCUUUCCAUCCUCAUCCUUGAUGCACCUCACUUGGUUUAGGUCCCUUGUCUUCUUUUCCCUUGCUCUAGCUAGUUUAUAGAUAUCCAACUCUCCUUCUUUGGUAUCUAGUCGUUUAUACAUAUCGUCGUAAGCCGCUAACUUAGCUUCUCUGACCGCUUUCUUCGCCUCUUGCUUCGCUUUUCUAUACCUUUCACCAUUUUCAUCGGUCCUCUCCUUGUAUAAGGCUUUACAACAUUCCUUCUUAGCCUUCACCUUUGUUUGUACCUCCUCAUUCCACCACCAAGAUUCCUUUUGGUGUGGGGCAAAGCCCUUGGACUCUCCUAAUACCUCUUUUGCUACUUUUCGGAUACAACUAGCCAUGGAAUCCCACAUUUGGCUAGCUUCCCCCUUUCUAUCCCACACACAUUGGGUGAUUACCUUCUCUUUGAAAAUGGCUUGUUUUUCUUCUUUUAGAUUCCACCAUCUAGUCCUUGGGCACUUUCCAAAAGUCAUAUAAAACAAAAAGGGAAAUUUUAUUUAAACCCAUUAAUUCUCUUUCCACACCCAACUUAGAAAUUUUGUCCCACAAACUUACCAUUUUACCCCCAAAUACAAAAUUUACAAACUUGAAAAAAUUACACAAACACAUAAACCCACCAACCACCUACCCUGGCAACAACCGGACUUGAUUAUGAUCGUCAUCAAGCAACCAAUUGACAACCUUGCUAGGCUGGUUAAGACCAAGCCUUUCUUGAAGAUCAUACAAUUGGAUUGCAGUGGGUACCGAUAGCCUCACCCGCCGAUCUCAAAGCCCUCUUAUGGUGCAAACCUUGCUAUGCCUAUCCUUUCCUCCAAAAGCUCGGGACGCACGUACAAUCCUUGGAUCCUUCAACCUUGGCCAUGGAGGUUAUGAACGAGAUAAAUUAAGGUUUGAUGACAUUUUAUUAGCUUUUCUGGCGACACAUUCUCUUGAUGCCGUCGAAGACUACAAUCGCCCUCCACUAUAUUUUUGCUGUUCUUCUCCACCCUCUGGCAAUCCAUUUUCCAAUUUCUAGUAGCCAAUUGUGGCUGGAUUUUUCGCCAGUUGAUAAUAUCUUUCUACACCCAUAUUUUCUCUAGGGCAUAAUUGAAAUAUAAAAUUUAAUAAAAAUUUAAUGGGUGUAGAAAUAGGUUUAUUGGGUCCAAAUAAAAUUUCCCAAACAAAAACUAAUUCAUUUUCAACUUUUUUUUUUCCUGAAACGGUUGCAAUCAUUCCACCAAUUGAAAACUCAUAUCAUGACAAAUUUUAUUCCCAAUUUGAUAAUUUAUUUUAGCAUUUGCUCCAAAGCUGGCGACCCACGUUUGCCACUCGAGAAUAGCUAGAACAAAAUAACCAUUCACUAGACCAUAACUGCCAUAGAUCUGCAAUUAACUUUUUUAUUUACGGGUCGUGUUUAACAUUCUUUAGGAAUAAAAAUUGCCAUGUUGUUUGUUCCAAAUAUUUAUUCACCUUUGACCCCAAAAAAAAAUUAUUCGUAAAAACUUAACAGCUUAAAAGUAUUCAAAUGACUAAUUUCAGUAAUGUCUUCCAAAGACAAUUUACAAACUCAAUUGUAGCAAAAAACCAUAGCAAAUUAAACCGCAUAAACACAAUUUUUAUGCAAAAUAAUUAUGAAGUGCAGGUACUCCCUGCAAUUUGCAACAACUAGGUCAUUUCAAACACAAAAAACUGUCAUUGUUGCAAGCAACCAUUUCUUAUUUGACAAUUGGAAAACUUUCACAUACACCAUAUUUUUACCCAAAAGCAUUGCAUCACCUCAAAGCUAUUAGAGCAAUGCUUUCCUCUUUUAAAUUUUAAACCAAAUGUCAGUCUAUAAGUCUAUAAUGUAGAUCAUAUACAGUUAACAACUACAUGUAAGAAAUGACAGACCACCAACUCAAGAUAUCGUAUCACUUGCUCAAAUAACUUUCCCUCUGGCCUUGCAGUGGGGCCUUGUUUAUGGAGUCUAUGUUAUGCUCGUACGAAAAAUAUAUUUACCAUUUAAGGUCUGCAACUUACAGUGACAUAUGACAAUAGCUUUCACUUUUCCCCUAUGUGUCAUGGUCAAUUCCGCAAAUCUUGAUAUGGUUUCGAGGUUCCUUAGCCUCCCAUCUAUAUUUGAAUAUUAAAUCUAAAAUUAGACACGAAUACUAUUACUAUUUCUUAAACUGAACAGUGAUUAUUUCUAUAACACGGAUAUUAUAACUAUUUCUUAAACUAAAACUGACUAUUUUUAUAAUUGAACACGGGUAUCAUAACUAUUUCUUAACUAAAACUGACUAUUUCUAAAACUGAUACUGACUAUUUCAAAGAAUCAGUUCAUCAAGAUCAAGAACAAUGAAGGUAGAGAGUAGACAACUAACCAGGAGCAGAUGUUGAAUUUCAUCGAUGUCCAUAUCCUCAUUUUUCUCCUCACUAAUGUUUAUCAGGGUAUCUAACAUAUCAUUAGUCAUGAUAUAAUCAAGCGCUUUUCUUGACUCGAACCGUUGCAUCAUCAAGCGGUCAAAGAGGUCAAGCAUCUUUCGGAAGUGACCGGUCAAACGGCGUCGAAUUCCCAGGGGAUCGAUCUUUUUGAGCACAGGAAAAUAGUCAGCCAAGUUAGGUUUCCCGGCCUCUUCAAAGAUACCCCACACCAAGUCCUUGAACUCUCUCGCCAUCGCACUGUGUGGGUCCGCUAAAUCCACGGAGAAGACUGUACGCGACAGCAAAUUGAGUGAAGUUUUGAAAGCAGCCCUUCCGAUAUCAACCACCUCACCGUUUACAGCGCUUUCAUUGACGUAAGAUAUGAGCUCUUGCACUUUUAGGUGACGGUUGGCUUGGUUGGCAUCGAAAAUUUUGGUGGCGAACAAUUGCGUGUUACAUGUUUUGCGAAGGUUUCUCCAAGCAGGUGAAACCGGUAUCCAAGCCAUGCGGUACUUGGAAUGUUGACAAGCUCGGAGCACAUCUGGGACGGUUCGGUUGCAGAAGAGUUGGUCGUGGGUUCGGAGGACUUCUUUGGCGAAGGUUGAUGAAGAAAUUACCACCGUCGUUAUUUGGCCGAGUUGCAAGGCCAUUAUGGGGCCGUAGCGUUGUGAAAGCUUGGUGAGAGAGAGAUGGGGUUUGUUGCCAAGCUCUAAGAGAUUGCCAAUGAAGGGAAGUGGGUUUGGUCCAGGUGGGAGCCUUGUGGUAACUGAUGAUCUUCUUCCAAGUGAAUAAUAGAGGGUAUAAAUUGAGAUCCAUGCAACCAUUAGACCUAGUAGUAUGCAACUCAAGAUGUCCAUCUCUGAGCUCUGUCUCCUCGUUCUCCUAAACCUUUAACUCUG